UGAGGAAUAUUGGUCAAUGGACGGAAGUCUGAACCAGCCAAGUAGCGUGCAGGAUGACGGCCCUAUGGGUUGUAAACUGCUUUUGUAUGGGGAUAAAGUUAGGGACGUGUCCCUAUUUGCAGGUACCAUACGAAUAAGGACCGGCUAAUUCCGUGCCAGCAGCCGCGGUAAUACGGAAGGUCCGGGCGUUAUCCGGAUUUAUUGGGUUUAAAGGGAGCGUAGGCCGGAGAUUAAGUGUGUUGUGAAAUGUAGACGCUCAACGUCUGACUUGCAGCGCAUACUGGUUUCCUUGAGUACGCACAACGUUGGCGGAAUUCGUCGUGUAGCGGUGAAAUGCUUAGAUAUGACGAAGAACUCCGAUUGCGAAGGCAGCUGACGGGAGCGCAACUGACGCUUAAGCUCGAAGGUGCGGGUAUCGAACAGGAUUAGAUACCCUGGUAGUCCGCACAGUAAACGAUGGAUGCCCGCUGUUGGUACCUGGUAUCAGCGGCUAAGCGAAAGCAUUAAGCAUCCCACCUGGGGAGUACGCCGGCAACGGUG
This 540-nucleotide ribosomal RNA is filed under the name uncultured bacterium. Its description in RNAcentral is "bacterial SSU rRNA". It matches the Rfam family "Bacterial small subunit ribosomal RNA", at positions 355 to 896 of the family's 1533-position model. The record is from RNAcentral.